RNAcentral lists this non-coding RNA (29 nucleotides) under Rattus norvegicus (Norway rat). Lineage: Eukaryota; Metazoa; Chordata; Mammalia; Rodentia; Muridae. The record is from RNAcentral.
UUUGUUGGUACAAGAAAUCUCCAUGCCUC